GGAUGGAAAUGGCCCCUGUGGCCUGCAACACAUGUAUGGUUAAGGCAUUGCCACCUACUUCGUGGUAUCUCUAACCAAGUUGUUUU
Molecule: small nuclear RNA, 86 nt
Organism: Nerophis lumbriciformis (worm pipefish)
Lineage: Eukaryota; Metazoa; Chordata; Actinopteri; Syngnathiformes; Syngnathidae
Source: RefSeq, a predicted model, not a curated record